Heteronotia binoei (common prickly gecko) is the source of this 245-nucleotide long non-coding RNA. RefSeq lists it as uncharacterized. The record is from RefSeq and is a predicted model, not a curated record. Lineage: Eukaryota; Metazoa; Chordata; Lepidosauria; Squamata; Gekkonidae. The transcript has 2 exons.
UGGAGAGUUCCUCAAGAGGAUUUCAAGAGAGGAUUUUCUUUCCAUCAGCGCAUGAUCAGAGGCAUGAGGAGGGUGAGGAACUUUAUCCACGAUUGCCAGACAGAGUUAAUAAUGAAGACUUGAAAGGCAACAUCAGGAAUCAAGGCAGACCUGAGAGGAAGAAAGACAACCAUUUUUUUGAGAAGAGAGAUGGAAGAAAGCAUAACGCAGCUCUUCCAAAGCACAAUGUACUGAAGACAGGUAAA